CAGGCCUAACACAUGCAAGUCGGGCGGUAGCAGGAAGUGCUUGCACUUUGCUGACGAGCGGCGGACGGGUGCGUAACACGUAGGAAUCUGCCUGGUAGUGGGGGAUAGCCCGGAGAAAUCCGGAUUAAUACCGCAUACGCCCUAAGGGGGAAAGCAGGGGAUCGGUCCGCCGACCUUGCGCUAUCAGAUGAGCCUGCGUCGGAUUAGCUGGUUGGUGGGGUAAAGGCCUACCAAGGCGACGAUCCGUAGCUGGUCUGAGAGGAUGAUCAGCCACACUGGGACUGAGACACGGCCCAGACUCCUACGGGAGGCAGCAGUGGGGAAUAUUGCACAGUGGGCGAAAGCCUGAUGCAGCCAUGCCGCGUGUGUGAAGAAGGCCCUAGGGUUGUAAAGCACUUUCAGCGAGGAGGAAAGGUUAAAGGUUAAUACCCUCUGGCUGUGACGUUACUCGCAGAAGAAGCACCGGCUAACUCCGUGCCAGCAGCCGCGGUAAUACGGAGGGUGCGAGCGUUAAUCGGAAUUACUGGGCGUAAAGCGUGCGUAGGCGGCCUUUUAAGUUGGAUGUGAAAGCCCCGGGCUCAACCCGGGAACUGCAUCCAAAACUGGAAGGCUCGAGUGCGGGAGAGGAGUGUGGAAUUUCCUGUGUAGC
Molecule: ribosomal RNA, 649 nt
Filed under: uncultured bacterium
Lineage: Bacteria
Description: bacterial SSU rRNA
Rfam family: Bacterial small subunit ribosomal RNA
Source: RNAcentral